RNAcentral lists this unclassified non-coding RNA (391 nucleotides) under soil metagenome. RNAcentral describes it as "partial contains 5.8S ribosomal RNA, internal transcribed spacer 2, and large subunit ribosomal RNA". The stretch from base 1 to 122 matches the Rfam family "5.8S ribosomal RNA", at positions 35 to 154 of the family's 154-position model. The record is from RNAcentral.
GAUGAAGAACGUAGCGAAAUGCGAUACUUGGUGUGAAUUGCGGAAUCCCGUGAACCAUCGAGUCUUUGAACGCAAGUUGCGCCCGAAGCCACUAGGCCGAGGGCACGCCUGCCUGGGCGUCACACGCCGUUGCCCCCCCAUCUACUCCUUCGGGAUUGCGGGGGGGCGGAUGAUGGCCUCCUGUGCGCCUAGCCGCGCGGUUGGCAUAAAUACCAAGUCCUCGGCGACGCACGCCACGACAAUCGGUGGUUGCGAAACCUCGGUUGCCCGUCGUGUGCGUUCGUCGCGCAUCGAGGGCUCGAAAAAAUGCUCGGCUCCGGCUGGGCUUUCAACGCGACCCCAGGUCAGGCGGGGUUACCCGCUGAAUUUAAGCAUAUCAAUAAGCGGAGGA